UGAGCCAAGUUUAGGGUUUUCUCAAAACCCAAGCAGUAUUGAACUGAAGAGUUUGAUCAUGGCUCAGAUUGAACGCUGGCGGCAGGCCUAACACAUGCAAGUCGAGCGGAUGAAGGGAGCUUGCUCCUGGAUUCAGCGGCGGACGGGUGAGUAAUGCCUAGGAAUCUGCCUGGUAGUGGGGGAUAACGUCCGGAAACGGGCGCUA
This 205-nucleotide ribosomal RNA is filed under the name Pseudomonas aeruginosa. Its description in RNAcentral is "partial 16S ribosomal RNA". The stretch from base 41 to 205 matches the Rfam family "Bacterial small subunit ribosomal RNA", at positions 1 to 165 of the family's 1533-position model. Lineage: Bacteria; Pseudomonadati; Pseudomonadota; Gammaproteobacteria; Pseudomonadales; Pseudomonadaceae. The record is from RNAcentral.